Molecule: ribosomal RNA, 119 nt
Organism: Petromyzon marinus (sea lamprey)
Lineage: Eukaryota; Metazoa; Chordata; Hyperoartia; Petromyzontiformes; Petromyzontidae
Source: Ensembl
GCCUACGACAAUAUCACCGUGAAUGUGCCCGAUCUCGUAUGAUCUCGGAAGCUAAGCAGGGUCGACCCUGGUUAGUACUUGGAUGGGAGACUGCCUGGUAAUACCAGGUGUUGUAGGCU